AGGGUUAUAGCUCAGUGGUAAAGUGCUUGCCUGAUAUGCAGGAAACCCCGAGUUUAAUCCUA
Molecule: transfer RNA, 62 nt
Filed under: Cricetulus griseus (Chinese hamster)
Lineage: Eukaryota; Metazoa; Chordata; Mammalia; Rodentia; Cricetidae
Rfam family: tRNA
About the family: Transfer RNA (tRNA) molecules are approximately 80 nucleotides in length. Their secondary structure includes four short double-helical elements and three loops (D, anti-codon, and T loops).
Source: Rfam by way of RNAcentral